CCUACGGUAGGCAGCAGUGGGGGCUAUUGCACAAUGGGGGAAACCCUGAUGCAGCGACGCCGCGUGUGGGAAGACGGUCCUCUGGCUUGUAAACCACUGUCCCCAGGGACGAAGAUGACGGUACCUGGGGAGGAAGCUCCGGCUAACUACGUGCCAGCAGCCGCGGUAAUACGUAGGGAGCGAGCGUUGUCCGGAAUUACUGGGUGUAAAGGGAGCGUAGGCGGGACUGCAAGUUGUGUGUCAAAUCUACCGGCUCAACCGGUAGCCGCACUUAAAACUGCAGUUCUUGAGUGAAGUAGAGGCAGGCGGAAUGCCUAGUGUAGCGGUGAAAUGCGUAGAUAUUAGGAGGAACACCAGUGGCGAAGGCGGCCUGCUGGGCUUUUACUGACGCUGAGGCUCGAAAGUGUGGGGAGCAAACAGGAUUAGAUACCCGUGUAGUC
Molecule: ribosomal RNA, 440 nt
Filed under: uncultured bacterium
Lineage: Bacteria
Description: partial 16S ribosomal RNA
Rfam family: Bacterial small subunit ribosomal RNA
Source: RNAcentral